GGAGGAGUGCCUGAGUGGUUGAAAGGGCUGCUCUCGAAAAGCAGUAGGCCCCAACGGGUCUCGCGAGUUCGAAUCUCGCCUCCUCCGCCA
This 90-nucleotide transfer RNA is filed under the name Candidatus Portnoybacteria bacterium CG10_big_fil_rev_8_21_14_0_10_44_7. RNAcentral's name for it is "tRNA-Ser". It matches the Rfam family "tRNA". Rfam says of the family: Transfer RNA (tRNA) molecules are approximately 80 nucleotides in length. Their secondary structure includes four short double-helical elements and three loops (D, anti-codon, and T loops). Further hydrogen bonds mediate the characteristic L-shaped molecular structure. tRNAs have two regions of fundamental functional importance: the anti-codon, which is responsible for specific mRNA codon recognition, and the 3' end, to which the tRNAs corresponding amino acid is attached (by aminoacyl-tRNA synthetases). tRNAs cope with the degeneracy of the genetic code in two manners: having more than one tRNA (with a specific anti-codon) for a particular amino acid; and 'wobble' base-pairing, i.e. permitting non-standard base-pairing at the 3rd anti-codon position. Lineage: Bacteria; Candidatus Portnoyibacteriota. The record is from RNAcentral.